CGCGGCCUAUCAGCUUGUUGGUGGGGUGAUGGCCUACCAAGGCGACGACGGGUAGCCGGCCUGAGAGGGCGAUCGGCCACACUGGAACUGAGACACGGUCCAGACUCCUACGGGAGGCAGCAGUGGGGAAUAUUGCGCAAUGGGCGGAAGCCUGACGCAGCGACGCCGCGUGAGGGAUGAAGGUCUUCGGAUUGUAAACCUCUUUCAGUAGGGACGAAUUUAGACGGUACCUGCAGAAGAAGCACCGGCCAACUACGUGCCAGCAGCCGCGGUAAUACGUAGGGUGCGAGCGUUGUCCGGAAUUAUUGGGCGUAAAGAGCUCGUAGGCGGUUCGUCGCGUCGAAUGUGAAAUCCCGGGGCUCAACUCCGGGUCUGCAUUCGAUACGGGCGGACUAGAGUUCGGUAGGGGAGACUGGAAUUCCUGGUGUAGCGGUGAAAUGCGCAGAUAUCAGGAGGAACACCGGUGGCGAAGGCGGGUCUCUGGGCCGAUACUGACGCUGAGGAGCGAAAGCGUGGGGAGCGAACAGGAUUAGAUACCCUGGUAGUCCACGCCGUAAACGGUGGGCGCUAGGUGCGGGGGACUUCCACGUUCUCUGUGCCGCAGCUAACGCAUUAAGCGCCCCGCCUGGGGAGUACGG
This 638-nucleotide ribosomal RNA is filed under the name uncultured Actinomycetes bacterium. RNAcentral describes it as "bacterial SSU rRNA". It matches the Rfam family "Bacterial small subunit ribosomal RNA", at positions 232 to 885 of the family's 1533-position model. The record is from RNAcentral. Lineage: Bacteria; Bacillati; Actinomycetota; Actinomycetes.